UACGUAGGUGGCAAGCGUUGUCCGGAUUUACUGGGCGUAAAGAGCGCGCAGGCGGUCGUUCAAGUCGAGUGUGAAAGCCCCCGGCUCAACUGGGGAGGGUCAUUCGAUACUGAUCGACUCGAAGGCAGGAGAGGGAAGUGGAAUUCCCGGUGUAGUGGUGAAAUGCGUAGAUAUCGGGAGGAACACCAGUGGCGAAGGCGGGUCUCUGGGCCGUAACUGACGCUGAGGAGCGAAAGCGUGGGGAGCGAACAGG
Molecule: ribosomal RNA, 253 nt
Filed under: uncultured bacterium
Lineage: Bacteria
Description: partial 16S ribosomal RNA
Rfam family: Bacterial small subunit ribosomal RNA
Source: RNAcentral